RNAcentral lists this ribosomal RNA (97 nucleotides) under uncultured bacterium. Its description in RNAcentral is "partial 16S ribosomal RNA". It matches the Rfam family "Bacterial small subunit ribosomal RNA", at positions 259 to 353 of the family's 1533-position model. The record is from RNAcentral.
AACGGCCCACCAAGGCGACGAUCAGUAGCCGGCCUGAGAGGGUGAACGGCCACAUUGGGACUGAGACACGGCCCAAACUCCUACGGGAGGCAGCAUG